GGAUGGAACUCCCCCCCCACCUAGCGGCGAAAUCACAGACCAACACAAAAUGCGAGUGAGUAGCGACGGAUUGUGCAGCACGGAGAUGGCACGCCGAAUGGCUGACACUGUACGGAUUUGAUACUUGGGUUAUUUAUGUGACACUUCAAUAGAGACAGCCUUAAGGGAUGUUUCUUUUCGAGGUCUUCAGCCUUAUGUGCCUGGCUUCCCUCUGAAGAGCUGAAGCAGAGUAGAAGGUGCUGUGACAUGAUGAGCAGUGAGAGGAGGGUGCAGUGGCCACCAGUGGAAAAUCAAAUGAAAAGUGUUCACUACAUUUUCAAAUGAAAGGUGAUGGAGGAAAAAAGCUGAGUUUGGGACUGUUAUUAAGGACUGAUGCUGCUAGAUCUCGAGUUGUCCAGCUUUUGCUAAGUUUCCUCACCCUGAAACAUUUGGUCACUAAAAGGGAAGCCUGGAACCUCUGGUCCUAGUUGACAAUCAGCAGAAAAAUCAUGUACAGAAUACAACAUUCCUGUAAGUACUGUAGAAAUACUAACAGAGAUGUGAAUCUGUUGCAAAUGUCGGCUGUAACUAGUUCAUUUAUGGAUUCACUGAGUUAUGUCU
Molecule: long non-coding RNA, 600 nt
Organism: Gallus gallus (chicken)
Lineage: Eukaryota; Metazoa; Chordata; Aves; Galliformes; Phasianidae
Source: Ensembl